This 402-nucleotide ribosomal RNA is filed under the name Triticum aestivum (bread wheat). RNAcentral describes it as "partial small subunit ribosomal RNA". The record is from RNAcentral. Lineage: Eukaryota; Viridiplantae; Streptophyta; Magnoliopsida; Poales; Poaceae.
AUGUGCUGCCCCCAAUCUCUCGUACAGCUCGGGUUUGGAGGCGGAGGCCAAGGGGGAGGAGGCGCAGGCGCUGUAGCUCGCGGACAAGUCGAGGAACUGCCCCACGGCGCGAGCGGCGAGACUAAGACGUUCUCCCUCUUUGCCUUGCUCCGCCGUCCCCAUCAAGAAUCACCGGUCCCUUCUCUCCAACUCGGGAGGCGCCGCAGCGUAGCAGAGGUACUCCGAGCGCCGCUGCUGAUGGACGCCGUCGCCACAUCCCAUCCUCUUUCGCCUCGCACUCAGGUCCUUUCGGUCUCCACUGCCUCGCAUCUUCUACCCCGGUCGGACGCGACCCCUAGGUCAUCGGCUGCAGGUAGUCCAUCAGAUUCAUUCAGGCUCGAUUCAUGUUUCUCUUUCUGUUAA